Ostrea edulis (European flat oyster) is the source of this 509-nucleotide long non-coding RNA. RefSeq lists it as uncharacterized. The record is from RefSeq and is a predicted model, not a curated record. The transcript has 3 exons. Lineage: Eukaryota; Metazoa; Mollusca; Bivalvia; Ostreida; Ostreidae.
UGAUAGUGAGACUAAUAAAUUCUUUCAGCAGAAUUCAGCUAGACACACACAAAAAAAAGACAAUCACUACAGCCUUCCAAGAAGAUGGACUGCCUCACAAUAGUUUCCUUGAGGACUGUCUUGAAAUAUCCAGAGUUUAAGAUUCAAGAAACGGACUCUAUCUGGAAAAGGAAAACAAUAUCAAAGCUCCUCUGUGAGAAGUUGGCCAAGGAAAGCAUUCAGAAGAAAGUGGAGAUUCAUUGUUUUUACCAGAUCCAGCAGAUCACAGAAAGCAUCUAGUAGGGGAGUUUCCAGGAUUAAGCCAGCCAGUAGAUGAGACUAUUAUAUCAAAAAUACAUUUACUUGUACACGAGGGCACACAAAGCGUUGAUGAAACAAAAAGACAUUUCCGUCUGUUUGUAAAGGAUACUAUUUCACCAGGGAACACCAUCUCAGAAUUUAACAGAUGCUUUUACCCCGCCAAUAAGGAUGUAAGAAAUCACAUUUACAGGGCACCGAGAUUUUGCCAG